UCCUACGGGACGCAGCAGUGGGGAAUAUUGCACAAUGGGCGAAAGCCUGAUGCAGCAACGCCGCGUGAAGGAAGAAGGCCUUCGGGUCGUAAACUUCUGUCCUUGGGGAAGAAGAACUGACGGUACCCAAGGAGGAAGCCCCGGCUAACUACGUGCCAGCAGCCGCGGUAAUACGUAGGGGGCAAGCGUUAUCCGGAAUUAUUGGGUGUAAAGGGUGCGUAGACGGAAGAACAAGUUGGUUGUGAAAUCCCUCGGCUCAACUGAGGAACUGCAACCAAAACUAUUCUCCUUGAGUGUCGGAGAGG
This 305-nucleotide ribosomal RNA is filed under the name uncultured bacterium. Its description in RNAcentral is "bacterial SSU rRNA". It matches the Rfam family "Bacterial small subunit ribosomal RNA", at positions 337 to 657 of the family's 1533-position model. The record is from RNAcentral.